ACUAUGCUUGGCCCUAAACCUCAGUAGUUAGAUAACAAAACUACUCGCCAGAAUACUACGAGCUACAGCUUAAAACUCAAAGGACUUGACGGUGCUUUACACCCCCUAGAGGAGCCUGUUCCGUAAUCGAUAAACCCCGAUCCACCCCACCCUCUCUUGCUCAGCCUAUAUACCGCCAUCUUCAGCAAACCCUAAUGAAGGUCACAAAGUGAGCGCAAACGCCGUCACCGCGAAUACGUUAGGUCAAGGUGUAGCCUAUGAGAUGGUAAAAAAUGGGCUACAUUUUCUACCUCAGAAAAUUCCACGAAAACCCUUAUGAAACCUAAGGGCCCAAGGAGGAUUUAGCAGUAAAUUAAGAAUAGAGUGCUUAAUUGAACCAGGCCAUAAAGCGCGCACACACCGCCCGUCACUCCUCUCAAAUAUAUUUAAGGAACAUCUUAACUAAACGCCCUAAUAUUUAUAUAGAGAGGAUAAGUCGUAACAUGGUAAGCGUACUGGAAGGUGCGCUUGGAUAAAU
This 517-nucleotide ribosomal RNA is filed under the name Macaca mulatta (Rhesus monkey). RNAcentral's name for it is "partial 12S ribosomal RNA". It matches the Rfam family "Bacterial small subunit ribosomal RNA", at positions 789 to 1533 of the family's 1533-position model. Lineage: Eukaryota; Metazoa; Chordata; Mammalia; Primates; Cercopithecidae. The record is from RNAcentral.